AUUGAACGCUGGCGGCAUGCUUUACACAUGCAAGUCGGACGGCAGCACAGAGAUGCUUGCUUCUUGGGUGGCGAGUGGCGAACGGGUGAGUAAUAUAUCAGAACGUACCGAGUAAUGGGGGAUAACUAAUCGAAAGAUUAGCUAAUACCGCAUAUUCUCUGAGGAGGAAAGCAGGGGACCUUCGGGCCUUGCGUUAUUCGAGCGGCCGAUAUCUGAUUAGCUAGGUGGUGGGGUAAAGGCCAACCAAGGCGACGAUCUGUAGCGGGUGUGAGAGGACGACCCUCCACACCUGACCUGUGCCGCGGCCCAGACUCCUGCGGGAGUCGGCGGUGGGGAAAUUUAUACUAUUGGCUCAAGCCUGGUCCGACCCUGCCGCGUUUCUUAAGAAAGCCUUCGGGUUGUAAAGGUCUUUUGUCAGGGAAGAAAAGGCUGUUGCUAAUAUCAAUAGCUGAUGACGGUACCUGAAGAAUAAGCACCGGCUAACUACGUG
RNAcentral lists this ribosomal RNA (490 nucleotides) under uncultured bacterium. RNAcentral describes it as "partial 16S ribosomal RNA". It matches the Rfam family "Bacterial small subunit ribosomal RNA", at positions 30 to 507 of the family's 1533-position model. The record is from RNAcentral.